Molecule: ribosomal RNA, 346 nt
Filed under: uncultured eukaryote
Lineage: Eukaryota
Description: SSU rRNA
Rfam family: Eukaryotic small subunit ribosomal RNA
Source: RNAcentral
AUAGCGUAUAUUAAAGUUGUUGCAGUUAAAAAGCUCGUAGUUGAACCUUGGGCCUGGCUGACCGGUCUGCCUCACCGCAUGCACUGGUUUGGCCGGGCCUUUCCUUCUGGCUAGCCGCAUGCCCUUUACUGGGUGUGUUGGGGAACCAGGACUUUUACUUUGAAAAAAUUAGAGUGUUCAAAGCAGGCAUAUGCUCGGAUACAUUAGCAUGGAAUAAUAGAAUAGGACGUGUGGUUCUAUUUUGUUGGUUUCUAGGACCACCGUAAUGAUUAAUAGGGAUAGUCGGGGGCAUCAGUAUUCAAUCGUCAGAGGUGAAAUUCUUGGAUUGAUUGAAGACUAACUACUG